GGAGUCGUAGUUCAGUUGGUUUAGAACGCUGGCCUGUCACGCCGGAGGUCGCGAGUUCGAGCCUCGUCGGCUCCGCCA
Molecule: transfer RNA, 78 nt
Filed under: Candidatus Sumerlaeota bacterium
Lineage: Bacteria; Candidatus Sumerlaeota
Also listed under: 1 other name
Description: tRNA-Asp
Rfam family: tRNA
About the family: Transfer RNA (tRNA) molecules are approximately 80 nucleotides in length. Their secondary structure includes four short double-helical elements and three loops (D, anti-codon, and T loops).
Source: RNAcentral